Molecule: ribosomal RNA, 502 nt
Filed under: uncultured bacterium
Lineage: Bacteria
Description: partial 16S ribosomal RNA
Rfam family: Bacterial small subunit ribosomal RNA
Source: RNAcentral
AUUGAACGCUGGCGGAAUGCUUUACACAUGCAAGUCGAACGGCAGCACGGGUGCUUGCACCUGGUGGCGAGUGGCGAACGGGUGAGUAAUAUAUCGGAACGUAUCCAAUAAUGGGGGAUAACUAAUCGAAAGGUUGGCUAAUACCGCAUACGCCCUACGGGGGAAAGCUAGGGACCUUCGGGCCUGGCGUUAAUGGAGCGGCCGAUAUCUGAUUAGCUAGUUGGUGGGGUAAGGGCCUACCAAGGCGACGAUCAGUAGCUGGGCUGAGAGGACGACCAGCCCCACUGGAACUGAGACACGGGCCAGGCUCCUACGGGAGGCAGCAGUGGGGAAUUUUGGACAAUGGGCGCAAGCCUGGUCCAGCCAUGCCGCGUGAGUGAAGAAGGCCUUCGGGUUGUAAAGCUCUUUCGCAAGGGAAGAAAACUUAUCCUCUAACAUAGGAUGAGGUGGACGGUACCUUGAUAAGAAGCACCGGCUAACUACGUGCCAGCCGCCGCCGUAA